AACGAACGCUGGCGGCAGGCUUAACACAUGCAAGUCGAGCGCAUGUCUUCGGACAUGAGCGGCAGACGGGUGAGUAACACGUGGGAAUCUACCUAGCUCUACGGAAUACACCAGGGAAACUUGGAUCAAUACCGUAUACGCCCGCAAGGGGAAAGAUUUAUCGGAGUUGGAUGAGCCCGCGUCGGAUUAGCUAGUUGGUGGGGUAAAGGCCUACCAAGGCGACGAUCCGUAGCUGGUCUGAGAGGAUGAUCAGCCACACUGGGACUGAGACACGGCCCAGACUCCUACGGGAGGCAGCAGUGGGGAAUAUUGGACAAUGGGGGCAACCCUGAUCCAGCCAUGCCGCGUGAGUGAUGAAGGCCCUAGGGUUGUAAAGCUCUUUCACCGGUGAAGAUAAUGACGGUAACCGGAGAAGAAGCCCCGGCUAACUUCGUGCCAGCCGCCGCAGUAACAC
Molecule: ribosomal RNA, 454 nt
Filed under: uncultured bacterium
Lineage: Bacteria
Description: bacterial SSU rRNA
Rfam family: Bacterial small subunit ribosomal RNA
Source: RNAcentral